Molecule: ribosomal RNA, 329 nt
Filed under: uncultured Leptolinea sp.
Lineage: Bacteria; Bacillati; Chloroflexota; Anaerolineae; Anaerolineales; Anaerolineaceae
Description: bacterial SSU rRNA
Rfam family: Bacterial small subunit ribosomal RNA
Source: RNAcentral
UGCUGCAUGGCUGUCGUCAGCUCGUGUCGUGAGAUGUUCGGUUAAGUCCGCUAACGAGCGCAACCCUCGCUGUGUGUUAUAUGUGUCACACGGGACUGCCGGUCUUAAGCCGGAGGAAGGUGGGGAUGAUGUCAAGUCAGCAUGGCCUUUAUAUCCUGGGCUACACACACGCUACAAUGGCCAACACAAUAGGUUGCUAAGCCGCGAGGUGGCGCCAAUCCAUAAAGUUGGUCUCAGUUCAGAUUGUAGGCUGCAACCCGCCUGCAUGAAGAUGGAGUUGCUAGUAACCGCAGGCCAGCUAUACUGCGGUGAAUACGUUCCCGGGGCUU